AGAGUUUGAUCCUGGCUCAGGACGAACGCUGGCGGCGUGCUUAACACAUGCAAGUCGAACGGAAAGGCCCUUCGGGGUACUCGAGUGGCGAACGGGUGAGUAACACGUGGGUGAUCUGCCCUGCACUUUGGGAUAAGCCUGGGAAACUGGGUCUAAUACCGAAUAGGACCACGCGCUUCAUGGUGUGUGGUGGAAAGCUUUUGCGGUGUGGGAUGGGCCCGCGGCCUAUCAGCUUGUUGGUGGGGUAAUGGCCUACCAAGGCGACGACGGGUAGCCGGCCUGAGAGGGUGACCGGCCACACUGGGACUGAGAUACGGCCCAGACUCCUACGGGAGGCAGCAGUGGGGAAUAUUGCACAAUGGGCGCAAGCCUGAUGCAGCGACGCCGCGUGAGGGAUGACGGCCUUCGGGUUGUAAACCUCUUUCAAUAGGGACGAAGCGCAAGUGACGGUACCUAUAGAAGAAGCACCGGCCAACUACGUGCCAGCAGCCGCGGUAAUACGUAGGGUGCGAGCGUUGUCCGGAAUUACUGGGCGUAAAGAGCUCGUAGGUGGUUUGUCGCGUUGUUCGUGAAAACUCACAGCUUAACUGUGGGCGUGCGGGCGAUACGGGCAGACUAGAGUACUGCAGGGGAGACUGGAAUUCCUGGUGUAGCGGUGGAAUGCGCGGAUAUCAGGAGGAACACCGGUGGCGAAGGCGGGUCUCUGGGCAGUAACUGACGCUGAGGAGCGAAAGCGUGGGGAGCGAACAGGAUUAGAUACCCUGGUAGUCCAA
Molecule: ribosomal RNA, 773 nt
Filed under: uncultured bacterium
Lineage: Bacteria
Description: bacterial SSU rRNA
Rfam family: Bacterial small subunit ribosomal RNA
Source: RNAcentral